UGAUCAUGGCUCAGAUUGACCGCUGGCGUGACAGGCCUAACACAUGCAAGUCAAACGGUAGCACAGAGAGCUUGCUCUCGGGUGACGAGUGGCGGACGGGUGAGUAAUGUCUGGGAAACUGCCUGAUGGAGGGGGAUAACUACUGGAAACGGUAGCUAAUACCGCGUAACGUCGCAAGACCAAAGAGGGGGACCUUCGGGCCUCUUGCCAUCAGAUGUGCCCAGAUGGGAUUAGCUAGUAGGUGGGGUAACGGCUCACCUAGGCGACGAUCCCUAGCUGGUCUGAGAGGAUGAC
This 294-nucleotide ribosomal RNA is filed under the name uncultured bacterium. RNAcentral's name for it is "partial 16S ribosomal RNA". It matches the Rfam family "Bacterial small subunit ribosomal RNA", at positions 14 to 304 of the family's 1533-position model. The record is from RNAcentral.